Molecule: RNA transcript, 1514 nt
Organism: Mandrillus leucophaeus (drill)
Lineage: Eukaryota; Metazoa; Chordata; Mammalia; Primates; Cercopithecidae
Gene name: L-lactate dehydrogenase A chain-like
Exons: 4
Source: RefSeq, a predicted model, not a curated record
UUUGGUUCCAAGUCCAGUGUUGCAACUCUCAAGGAUCAGCUGAUUCAUAAUCUUCUAAAACAACAACAGACCCCCCCCCCCAUUAAGAUUACAUUUGUUGGGGUUAGUGCUGUUGGCAUGGUCUGUGCCAUCAGUAUCUUGAUGAAGGACUUGGCAGAUGAACUUGCUCUUGUUGAUGUCAUGGAAGACAAAUUGAAGGGAGAGAUGACGGAUCUCCAACAUGGCAGCCUUUUCCUUAGAACACCAAAGAUUAUCUCUGGCAAAGACCAUAAUGUAAUUGCAAACUCCAAGCUGGUCAGUAUCACGUCUGGGGCACGUCAGCAAGAGGGAGAAAGCCAUCUUAAUUUGGACCAGCAUAACAUGAACAUCUUUAAAUUCAUCAUUCCUAAUGUUGUAAAAUACAGCCCGAACUGCAAGUUGCUUAUUGUUUCAAAUCCAGCGGAUAUCUUGACCUAUGUGACUUGGAAGAUAAGUGGCUUUCCCAAAAAACGUGUUAUUGGAAGUGGUUGCAAUCUGGAUUCAGCCCAAUUCCGUUACCUGAUGGGGGAAAGCUGGGAGUUCACCCAUUAAGCUGUCAUGGGCGGGUCCUUGGGGAACAUGGAGAUCCUAGUGUGCCUUUAUGGAAUGGAGUGAAUGUUGCUGGUGUCUCCCUGAAGACUCUGCACUCACAUUUAGGGACUGAUACAGAUAAGGAACAGUGGAAAGAGGUUCACAAGCAGGUGGUUGAGAGUCCUUACAAGGUGAUCAAACUGAAAGGCUACACAUCCUGGGCCAUUGGACUCUCUGUGGCAGAUUUGGCAGAGAGUAUAAUAAAGAAUCUCAGGUGGGUACACUCAAUUUCCACCAUGAUUAAGGGUUUCUAUGGAAUAAAGGAUGAUGUGUUCCUUAGUGUUGCUUGCAUCUUGGCACAGAAUGCAAUCUCAGACCUUGUGAAGGUGACUCUGACUCCUAAGGAAGAGGUCCAUUUGAAAAAGAGUACAGAUACACUUUGGGGGAUCCAAAAAGAGUUGCAGUUAAAAGGCUUUCCUCUCCAGGAGCCUGGCAAGCCAAGCCGCCUUCCGCGGGGCAACAGCGCGAGGCAUUACCCCUACAGACCACUUGAGGGCACCAUCCGUCCUGAGUUGGAGAGAACGAUGGGAAGCAGGGCUCCUUCACAAGGCUGCGGGGCUCCUCUCCGGGCCCGCCCCCCCCCCCCCCAUCCAGCAACAGCCAAUCAGAAACUCACUGACAGCGCUGGGCUCUCCACGCUCAGUUUGCUGCUUACCAAUCCCGCGGCCCAAGGGGAGCGGGGCUCUGUGUGGCCGGAGCUGGGGGCCCACACGGAGCCCCUUGCCGGAUGCCCCCGGGUUAUGCGGAAGGGCCAGCCUAGGACAGCAGCCACUGCAUUUCUUUGGCUUGCGCUGCGGUCCCGAUGGAGCUCGGUUCUGACCCAGAACCAUGUCCAUGGUGAGCUGCAGCUCGGUUUCUUUGAGUGCAAUUUCAAUGUCAGUGCCAUUGCUCUGCAUCAGGACUGA